Molecule: long non-coding RNA, 516 nt
Organism: Cryptomeria japonica (Japanese cedar)
Lineage: Eukaryota; Viridiplantae; Streptophyta; Pinopsida; Cupressales; Cupressaceae
Exons: 4
Source: RefSeq, a predicted model, not a curated record
CUCUUUUAUUAAUCAUUUUUAUUUUAGGCUUCGAGAACGAGCUGUUCGUCUUUGUUUCCUAUGAAUUUCGUGUGCUACUCCACUUCCUGAUAGAAUUGAUUUCUGAAGUCGUGUGGAGUGGGGCGAUCGAUUGAUUUCUGGUUCAAGCUCAUUGAUGUUUUGCUGAUUCUAGUCAGAAGAGAUGAUACAUAAUUGCAAAUAUCUCCAAGAUCAGGAGAGGCUGGCGAGAUUUCGGCUAUGGACUUCUUCGUGAGUACAGUGGGUCCAUUGAAAGAACCUCCUCUCGUUACUGCCAAUACUGUUCUGUAUCAAGGAGAUUGCAGGUACAGUGUCGCCUAGGUGUGAGGUUCGUCUUCACCCGGAUUCGCAAGGUUGAGUAUACCUCUUUCGUCCUUAGAAUUUGGGUUAGGUGAUCGUAAAACCCUUAGUUUGCCCUAGUCAUCCUCAAGUGAGUGUCAUCUGUGGUCUGUCAGUUUCCCUUUUCAUUUGGGUUUGCGAGUCGGGCAUUUGGUUGGC